UACAGAGGGUGCGAGCGUUGUCCGGAAUCACUGGGCGUAAAGGGCGCGUAGGUGGCUUGCCAAGCGUGUGGUGAAAGCCCGGAGCUCAACUCCGGGUCUGCCAUGCGAACUGGCAGGCUUGAGCACGGUAGAGGCCAAUGGAAUUCCGGGUGUAGCGGUGGAAUGCGUAGAGAUCCGGAAGAACACCGGUGGCGAAGGCGGCAUUCUGGACCGAAACUGACGCUGAGGCGCGAAAGCCAGGGGAGCAAACGGG
RNAcentral lists this ribosomal RNA (253 nucleotides) under uncultured bacterium. RNAcentral describes it as "partial 16S ribosomal RNA". It matches the Rfam family "Bacterial small subunit ribosomal RNA", at positions 524 to 776 of the family's 1533-position model. The record is from RNAcentral.